RNA transcript from Dioscorea cayenensis subsp. rotundata (Guinea yam), 2015 nucleotides. It is a transcript of the gene named protein RETICULATA-RELATED 1, chloroplastic-like, with no coding region annotated. NCBI's taxonomy places the organism in Eukaryota, Viridiplantae, Streptophyta, Magnoliopsida, Dioscoreales, Dioscoreaceae. The transcript has 9 exons. The record is from RefSeq and is a predicted model, not a curated record.
UCUCUCGAUUUCUCGGAAGAGAAAGGCGGUUGUUGAGACUUGAGAGAAGCGUCACCGGCGCCGGCGAGAGCUCAGCGACGGGAGAUGCCUUCCCUCGCCGUCGUCCACGCUUCUUCACUCCGCUUGGUUCCCCACCGCCAUCGAAUCUCUCACCCCGAGAAUCACCACACCACCAGACUCAGCGUCGCUGCCUCUUCUCGUAGAUUGAGGCCCAUCUCAGCGGCCGCCUCCUUAUCUUCCGUUCAUCCUUCCGGCGCUGUGGAUUCGGAUCCCUGCGGAUUCCUCGAACGAUGCUUAUUUUCAACUGAGGCUGGAGCUAAAUCUCCAUCGUUGUCGAUUGGAUUGGUUGCGCGGCCAAUGGCGACGGUGUCGCCGGAAAUGAUGGGACAGUACGGAUCAUUUGGGGCGGUGACGCUGGAGAAGGGCAAGCUUGAUCUCUCUCAGAAGACUUCCAAGUCUAGCCCUGAGACGGCAAUUGGUGGAGGAGGAGGAGAUAAUGGGAAGAAAAUUUUUCAUGGUGGUGGUGGUGGUGAUGAUGGUGAUGAUGAUGAUGACUAUUUUGGAGACUUUGAUGAAGGGGAUGAGGGAGAAGAAGGUGGACUAUUCAGAAGGCGUAUUUUCUUACAAGAGUUUUAUGACCGACAAUUUGUUGAUGCCGUGUUGCAAGAGUGGUACAAAACUAUUACUGAUUUGCCUGCUGGAUUUCGCCAAGCUUGUGAAAUGGGUAUGGUAAGCUCUGCUCAAAUGGCCCAAUUCUUAGCAAUGAAUGCGAGGCCAACAAUGGCUAGGCUCAUUUCUCGAAGCCUACCUGAAUCCAUAUCCAGGGCUUUCAUUGGGAGAAUGCUAGCAGAUCCAUCUUUCUUGUACAAGUUACUUCUAGAGCAGGUGGCCACGAUUGGUUGUUCAGUUUGGUGGGAAUUUAAGAACAGGAAGGAGAGGAUUAAAGAGGAAUGGGAUUUGGCCCUAAUUAAUGUUCUGACUGCAGCAGCUUGCAAUGUUGCCAUCGUCUGGUCACUUGCUCCUUGCCGAUCCUAUGGAAGCACUUUCCAAUUUGACCUGCAAAACACUAUCCAAAAGCUUCCAAAUAAUAUUUUUGAAAGGAGUUAUCCUUUCCGAGAAUUUGACUUGCAGAAAAGAGUUCAAUCUUUCUUUUAUAAAGCUGCGGAGCUUUCCCUUUUUGGGUUAAUUGCUGGAUCAGUUCAAGGAACUCUGUCCAAACUGUCCUCUAGAAGAAAGGAACCGAGACCAUGCUGUAGGUUAUCCAUGACCAUGCCAUCUGUGAGGACAAAUGCUCUUGGCUCUGGAUCUUUCCUGGGAAUAUACACAAAUUUUCGAUAUCAGCUUUUAUAUGGGAUAGAUAGAGCUCUGUUAGAUUACUUUGAUGUUCUUGGAGUGGCGAUCUUUUUUGGCUUUGCGUUAAGGAUUCUGAAUGUUCAGGUGGGGGAAACAUCCAAAGUAGCUUGGCUUGGGGUGGAAGCCAACCCUCUAAUUCAGUCAGAGGAUCACUCGAAAUUUUACAGCAGACCUUCAGAAGCUUUAGACACACCAUCCUCCAAAUGGUUCAUAUCCAAGAACACCAUCAUCUCCGGUCUUGGACGUCUUGGUAUCAGGAAGGACAGCAAGGACCUGAACAGUUCUACGUCAAAGGCUCGGAGGAAGAGAAUUGUCAGAACAAAGGUUAGCGAAAGCUCAGUUUAGGAUUUACUCUCCCACCAAUGGGAACAAUUUUGUUUGCGAGGAAAUCAUCAUUGAGCUGAUUACUUAUAACACAAUUAAAAGCCAAACAUUCUUGAAGGGCCCCUGACCAUUGUGGAAUAAAAACACCUACAAGGCUGAAUAGAAUCUAGCUGUGAAGAAGCCAUGAGAGCAUAAUGCUUUGUUUACUACUUCCUUCCAAAUUUGCUGCUUUUGUGGAUUCUCUUUACAAUGCUAAAUGCUUGUGUUGCUGUGCCUCUGUUACUUUGUGAUACAAAUGUUAUACUUUUAUUUAUUUAUUUAUUUAUUUAUUUUCCUUC